RNAcentral lists this ribosomal RNA (1123 nucleotides) under uncultured bacterium. RNAcentral's name for it is "bacterial SSU rRNA". It matches the Rfam family "Bacterial small subunit ribosomal RNA", at positions 47 to 1162 of the family's 1533-position model. The record is from RNAcentral.
AUUGAUUUUAUGCUUGCAUAAAUGAUUUUUGGAUUCGGAGCGAGUGGCGAACUGGUGAGUAACACGUGGGUAACCUGCCCCGAAGCGGGGGAUAACAUUUGGAAACAAGUGCUAAUACCGCAUAAUUAGUUGGAACCGCAUGGUUCCAACUUGAAAGAUGGCUCUGCUAUCACUUUGGGAUGGACCCGCGCCGUAUUAGUUAGUUGGUGAGAUAAAAGCCCACCAAGACGAUGAUACGUAGCCGACCUGAGAGGGUAAUCGGCCACAUUGGGACUGAGACACGGCCCAGACUCCUACGGGAGGCAGCAGUAGGGAAUCUUCCACAAUGGACGAAAGUCUGAUGGAGCAACGCCGCGUGAGUGAUGAAGGUUUUCGGAUCGUAAAACUCUGUUGUUAAAGAAGAACAAGUGUUAGAGUAACUGUUAACACUUUGACGGUAUUUAACCAGAAAGCCACGGCUAACUACGUGCCAGCAGCCGCGGUAAUACGUAGGUGGCAAGCGUUGUCCGGAUUUAUUGGGCGUAAAGCGAGCGCAGGCGGUUUUGUAAGUCUGCUGCGAAAGCCCUCAGCUCAACUGAGGAAGUGCAGUGGAAACUACAAAACUUGAGUACAGAAGAGGAAAGUGGAACUCCAUGUGUAGCGGUGAAAUGCGUAGAUAUAUGGAAGAACACCAGUGGCGAAGGCGGCUUUCUGGUCUGUUACUGACGCUGAGGCUCGAAAGCAUGGGUAGCGAACAGGAUUAGAUACCCUGGUAGUCCAUGCCGUAAACGAUGAAUACUAGGUGUUGGAGGGUUUCCGCCCUUCAGUGCCGCAGCUAACGCAUUAAGUAUUCCGCCUGGGGAGUACGACCGCAAGGUUGAAACUCAAAGGAAUUGACGGGGGCCCGCACAAGUGGUGGAGCAUGUGGUUUAAUUCGAUGCUACGCGAAGAGCCUUACCAGCUCUUGACAUCUUCUGCCAACCCAAGAGAUUGGGCGUUCCCUUCGGGGACAGAAUGACAGGUGGUGCAUGGUUGUCGUCAGCUCGUGUCGUGAGAUGUUGGGUUAAGUCCCGCAACGAGCGCAACCCUUAUUAUUAGUUGCCAGCAUUUAGUUGGGCACUCUAGUGAGACUGCCGGUGAUAAA